AGAGUUUGAUCAUGGCUCAGGAUGAACGCUGGCGGCGUGCCUAAUACAUGCAAGUCGAGCGAACCACUUCGGUGGUGAGCGGCGAACGGGUGAGUAACACGUAGGUGAUCUGCCCAUCAGACGGGGACAACGAUUGGAAACGAUCGCUAAUACCGGAUAGGACGAAAGUUUAAAGGUGCUCCUGGCACCGCUGAUGGAUGAGCCUGCGGCGCAUUAGCUAGUUGGUAGGGUAAAGGCCUACCAAGGCGACGAUGCGUAGCCGACCUGAGAGGGUGAACGGCCACACUGGGACUGAGACACGGCCCAGACUCCUACGGGAGGCAGCAGUAGGGAAUCUUCGGCAAUGGGCGAAAGCCUGACCGAGCAACGCCGCGUGAAUGAUGAAGGCCUUCGGGUUGUAAAAUUCUGUUAUAAGGGAAGAACGACUUUAGUAGGAAAUGGCUAAAGUGUGACGGUACCUUAUGAGAAGCCACGGCUAACUACGUGCCAGCAGCCGCGGUAAUACGUAGGUGGCAAGCGUUAUCCGGAAUUAUUGGGCGUAAAGAGCGCGCAGGUGGUUGAUUAAGUCUGAUGUGAAAGCCCACGGCUUAACCGUGGAGGGUCAUUGGAAACUGGUCGACUUGAGUGCAGAAGAGGGAAGUGGAAUUCCAUGUGUAGCGGUGAAAUGCGUAGAGAUAUGGAGGAACACCAGUGGCGAAGGCGCUUCCUGGUCUGUAACUGACACUGAGGCGCGAAAGCGUGGGGAGCAAACAGGAUUAGAUACCCUGGUAGUCCACGCCGUAAACGAUGAGUGCUAAGUGUUGGGGGUCGAACCUCAGUGCUGAAGUUAACGCAUUAAGCACUCCGCCUGGGGAGUACGGUCGCAAGACUGAAACUCAAAGGAAUUGACGG
RNAcentral lists this ribosomal RNA (891 nucleotides) under uncultured bacterium. RNAcentral describes it as "bacterial SSU rRNA". It matches the Rfam family "Bacterial small subunit ribosomal RNA", at positions 8 to 916 of the family's 1533-position model. The record is from RNAcentral.